CUAACGAACACCCAACGAGCGAAUCACCCCUUGCAUUUUGAAUUUGAAGACAUGUCUUCCAAUCUGGCAUCGCUGCCGACAGGCAAUACGAACUGACAAGUUCGUAAAACGAUCUACAGGCGGAAAUAUUAACACAUUUUUUAUAUUUACCAUGGGAAAAGUGACAAAAACUAAAAUAUGUGAAAAAGGAGGCCUCGUUAACGCAAAAGAAAAAGCUUCUUUAUUUCAACAAGUACACAAAAAUCCAAAAGUUACUUAUAUAAAAAAGGCCACAAAAAAAAUUAGCGAAGGUUUCGAAAGUGCUACUUGCGGCUUGAAAAGAAGCGAUAAAACCGGUAAUCCACUAGCGAAAGAAAAGGGUAUUCCUCAGUUAAACCAUUCUCAAAAGGCAAACACCAAAAAAACUACAGAAAAAAGCUUAAAACUAGAUACAGACAAAGAUGUUUUGACUUCCGAAAGUGAAUCUGAUUCUGAGGUUGUCAUUUCAAACCCAAAUGAACUUACAAAUUUGAAGGAAAAACAUUUUAGAGGAACUGAACAUUCUGUUUUCGUAGGUAAUUUGCCUAAAGCCACGAAAAAAUCUGCAGUAAAACAAAUAUUUAAACCUUUUGGUAAAAUAUUAACCGUGCGAUUUCGAUCAUUGGAUGGUGAAGUACUGUUAAAAAAAAAAGAUCGUGAAGCGGCAAAAGCGUUAAACUGUUAUGUUCGCUUUGAAACUAAGGAAGAGGCACAAGCAGCUUGUACCAUGAAUGGGUUUCCAUCAAGCUACGCGGAAAAAGCCCAUUCAAGCGGAAAAGGUCGAUUCAAGCGAUAAGCCGAUAUAUGAACCAUUAUUUAUGUGCGUAAAAAGCGACAUCUGGUAGAAUUUCAAGAAAUCAAACAAUAUUUUAAUUUCAAGUCUAUACGGAAAAGAAUUAAAUUGCCGUUGUUUAAAAACGAAUAAAA
Long non-coding RNA from Wyeomyia smithii (pitcher-plant mosquito), 945 nucleotides. RefSeq lists it as uncharacterized. The record is from RefSeq and is a predicted model, not a curated record. The transcript has 2 exons. NCBI's taxonomy places the organism in Eukaryota, Metazoa, Arthropoda, Insecta, Diptera, Culicidae.